This 1503-nucleotide ribosomal RNA is filed under the name Acinetobacter johnsonii. RNAcentral's name for it is "partial 23S ribosomal RNA". It matches the Rfam family "Bacterial large subunit ribosomal RNA", at positions 1 to 1551 of the family's 2925-position model. The record is from RNAcentral. Lineage: Bacteria; Pseudomonadati; Pseudomonadota; Gammaproteobacteria; Moraxellales; Moraxellaceae.
GUUGUAUAGUCAAGUAAUUAAGUGCAUGUGGUGGAUGCCUUGGCAGUCAGAGGCGAUGAAAGACGUAAUAGCCUGCGAUAAGCUCCGGGGAGGCGGCAAAUAUCCUGUGAUCCGGAGAUUUCUGAAUGGGGAAACCCACCUGUCAUAAGGCAGGUAUCGUAUGAUGAAUACAUAGUCAUACGAGGCGAACGAGGGGAAGUGAAACAUCUCAGUACCCUUAGGAAAAGAAAUCAAUUGAGAUUCCCUCAGUAGCGGCGAGCGAACGGGGAAAAGCCCAUUAAGUCAUAUAAGUUCUAGUGGAAUGCUCUGGGAAGUGCAACCAUAGUGGGUGAUAGUCCUGUACACGAAAGGGCUUAUAUGAUGAUGUCGAGUAGGGCGGGGCACGUGAAACCUUGUCUGAAUAUGGGGGGACCAUCCUCCAAGGCUAAAUACUCCUGACUGACCGAUAGUGAACCAGUACCGUGAGGGAAAGGCGAAAAGAACCCCUGUGAGGGGAGUGAAAUAGAUCCUGAAACCGCAUGCAUACAAGCAGUGGGAGCCGACUUGUUCGGUGACUGCGUACCUUUUGUAUAAUGGGUCAGCGACUUACAUUCAGUAGCAAGGUUAACCGCAUAGGGGAGCCGUAGAGAAAUCGAGUCUUAAUAGGGCGUUUAGUUGCUGGGUGUAGACCCGAAACCGGGUGAUCUAUCCAUGAGCAGGUUGAAGGUUGGGUAACACUAACUGGAGGACCGAACCCACUGUCGUUGAAAAGCCAGGGGAUGACUUGUGGAUAGGGGUGAAAGGCUAAUCAAACUCGGUGAUAGCUGGUUCUCCCCGAAAGCUAUUUAGGUAGCGCCUCGGACGAAUACCAUUGGGGGUAGAGCACUGUUUCGGCUAGGGGGUCAUCCCGACUUACCAAACCGAUGCAAACUCCGAAUACCAAUGAGUACUAUCCGGGAGACAGACUGCGGGUGCUAACGUCCGUAGUCAAGAGGAAAACAAUCCAGACCGCCAGCUAAGGCCCCAAAAUUAUAGUUAAGUGGGAAACGAUGUGGGAAGGCAUAGACAGCUAGGAGGUUGGCUUAGAAGCAGCCACCCUUUAAAGAAAGCGUAAUAGCUCACUAGUCGAGUCGGCCUGCGCGGAAGAUGUAACGGGGCUAAAACUAUAUGCCGAAGCUGCGGAUUUGCAAUUUAUUGCAAGUGGUAGGGGAGCGUUCUGUAAGCCGAUGAAGGUGUAUUGAGAAGUAUGCUGGAGGUAUCAGAAGUGCGAAUGCUGACGUGAGUAACGACAAUGCGAGUGAAAAACUCGCACGCUGAAAGACCAAGGGUUCCAGUCCAACGUUAAUCGGGGCUGGGUGAGUCGACCCCUAAGGCGAGGCCGAGAGGCGUAGUCGAUGGGAAAUUGGUUAAUAUUCCAAUACUUCUAUGUAAUGCGAUGAGAGGACGGAGAAGGUUAAGUCAGCCUGGCGUUGGUUGUCCAGGUGGAAGGUUGUAGGCAUGUAUCUUAGGCAAAUCCGGGGUACU